GGAGUCAUCUUUUUAGACCCAGCACCAGGUUAAAUAAAUCACGUUAAAAGUGAUAUAUUUUCACAUUCCAGUAAUGAUCUGGUGGGACCGCCGGGUGGGAAACUCAACCCUGCCAAACCUUCACUUCUCUGGAAAAAAAGGACUGCGUUACUGUCGAGAAAUUACCCAGCUCUCCUGGGAAGUUCACAGUGUAUUUUAUCUCUUUGAUUUCUUUCCUCAAAACAAUUUCAGCUCAUUCUUUCCUUGGCCGCUGCAGCGCUGUUGUUAUUGAGAACACUGUUAACUCAGCUCAGCACUCAAAUUGAUUUGACAAACAACGAGCAUGUGAGUCACAGAUGAAAUUUCCCACCUUGGCGGCGCUCCGGGCCCCUUCGUUCCUCGACGGUUUGGGCUGUAAUGGAUGCAGUUAUGACUGUGAUGAGGAGGGAAAAAAACCUGACAAAGUCCAAACUUUCCCUCUGAACUUUUUUAACUGUCCUCACCUGCUCAGUUCCCCUGCCGUCUCCCAUUAAUGGAGAUGUUGUCACAGACGCAGCCUUGUAAAACCUAAACUUAAUCAACCAUCACAUUGCUUAGUUCAAAGGUGCACUCUGAACUGUCUCUGUCUCAGUCAGUGUGAGUCAGAUCUGUGAGUUUUAGGUAAUACAAACAUCAGCACUUCAGCAGCUGGUUAGAGUCAAGUCUCAAUACUGAAGCUGGAAAUUCCCAAGACAAUUCAAAUAAAAGAGCAACAGAAUCUGAGAAGCUUAAGUGGAAAAACAUCUAUUUCUUUCAUUUUGAAAAUCAGGUUUUGAUGAUGUGUUUUGAAUUUCUGGCUCCUAUAAAUGGAUUUUCUUUUCACCAGUGAGACCCUUUGUUUAAAAGCCCUGUACACCUGCACAGGUGUUUUCACUUAUUCAGCCUGAUUAGAGUGCUGCUAGGCUGGGAGAGGGCUGAGCUCUGCUGGAAAUUAAACAGGUUCACCAAAACUCUUAUGAAGCACAAAUAAUAUUUUCAUUAUUAUUCAUGCAUUCACAAGUUAUCUGCAGUUUAAUGCUGUAGCAGGUGGAGUUUAACACUUGGAAACGCUGAGAAUAAUGUUGCCAUAGAUUCAGUAAGUUAAGCUGCCGGAUACAACUGGAGUCCUAUUUUUGGCCUAUAUUUAUUUACAUUUUGAACAAUUAAGUAUGCCGAAUUUGCUAUUAGCAGUUUUUGUUUGCAAUUUACCAUCGGGUUUACAAACAACUACAACUGGAUUAUUUUGAUACUGAAGAAAAUUUCAAAAUCGGAUGAUUCUCAGGCAAAUUCUGCAGCGACAUGGUGUGGUUGUUCUUCCCUGUCAUUUCUGAACAGGAUUGUGGACGUUUAUACGCAAUGGACACGAGAGAUAUCGUCACCAAGUCUGGAGACAGAUCUGGGCGAUUAAAGGAAUUAAAGGAAAGGAUUAAAGUUUGAUGCUGAACUUCUCAUGUCUGUCUUCUAAAUUGCUGGAGACAGCUCUUGGCGAGGAAAGGAAUGAAGUUUGAUGCUGAACUCACAACAUUUCUUCUGGAAUGG
Long non-coding RNA from Lates calcarifer (barramundi perch), 1536 nucleotides. RefSeq lists it as uncharacterized. The transcript has 3 exons. The record is from RefSeq and is a predicted model, not a curated record. Lineage: Eukaryota; Metazoa; Chordata; Actinopteri; Centropomidae.